This 216-nucleotide ribosomal RNA is filed under the name Glomeromycotina sp. RNAcentral describes it as "partial small subunit ribosomal RNA". The stretch from base 40 to 216 matches the Rfam family "Eukaryotic small subunit ribosomal RNA", at positions 686 to 864 of the family's 1831-position model. Lineage: Eukaryota; Fungi; Glomeromycota. The record is from RNAcentral.
GGGUCAGUAGGUUGGUCGUGCCACCGGUACGUACUGGUCUCACUGAUUCCUCCUUCCUGAAGAACCGUAAUGCCAUUAAUUUGGUGUUGCGGGGAAACAGGACUGCUACUUUGAAAAAAUUAGAGUGUUUAAAGCAAGCUAACGCUUGAAUACAUUAGCAUGGAAUAAUGAAAUAGGACGAUCGAUCCUAUUUUGUUGGUUUCUAGGAUUGACCUA